GGGAGCCUGAUUCAUCGCAAGGCCUUACUGUGUAAGGAAACAAAUGAAUGGUCUGAACACUAAGUGUAGGAAAGACUGAUGAGGCUGCAGU
Callorhinus ursinus (northern fur seal) is the source of this 91-nucleotide non-coding RNA. The record is from RefSeq and is a predicted model, not a curated record. NCBI's taxonomy places the organism in Eukaryota, Metazoa, Chordata, Mammalia, Carnivora, Otariidae.